CUAAUUAAAAUGUGAUCCAGUUCACGGGCCUGAUUCUAACACUAACUAGCAUGUGAUUGAGUUCACGGGCCUGAUUCUAACACUAAUUAAAUGUGAUUGAGUUCACGGGCCUAAUUAUAACACUAAGUAAAAUGUGAUUGAGUUCACGGGCCUGAUUCUAACACUAAUUAGGAUAUGCUCCAGUUCAGGGGGCUGACUCUAACACUAAUUAGGAUGUGAUUAAGAUCACAGGCCUCUAAUUAGAAUUAUAGCAUUAUUAUUUAUUUCCACAAAUCACAUUUUCAUACAACUCUUUAUAGUGAAAUGUUACACACAUCUAUUUUGAUUUAAAUCGUAUCAUUGAUUAUUCAUCUAUAACUUAGACUUUUGAAAUAGUUUAUUAUACCCCCCGCAACAAGUUGUGGGGGGGGGGGGGGUAUACUGGAAUCGGGUUGUCCGUCUGUCUGUCCGUCCGUCUGUCCGUCCGUCUGUAGACGCAAUGGUUUCCGGGCUCUAAAGCAUUAUCCUUUCCACCUACCGUUACCAUAUCAUAUAUAUGAACUACCCAUGGGAUGAAGAUGUUCCCUAUCGAUUUUGGGGUCAAAAGGUCAAAGGUCACGCGCACUGGACAUCAAAGUAGCAAUAUGGUUUCCAUUUAAAUUCUUUAACGGCUUUUUUCAUCGCAUGGAGAUGCUGUGUUCCUAGAUACCUUUUGGAUCAUAAUAUUGAAGUUUUACCUAUAUAUUUCCAACACCCUUUAGGAGAUUGGGGUAAGCGGGGGGUAUUCUUAGUGAGCAUUGCUCACAGUACCUCUUGUUUUAACAGUUUUUUGUUUUUUUUUACAAUAACUAUCGGAAAAGACUAACAAAAUUUAUGUUCCUAUCAUGCAUAAAUCUAAAUAAAUCAUUGAUUUUGCAAAAUCUGAUGACAUCAUAGGAGGGUGGAAUUACUUUAAGUUAUGUUUAGUGCUGUGUGUAUAUAAACAUGCACUCAUAUAAUUAUAUCUUCCCUCUUCCAGGGGGAGACAUAUUGUAUUUGUACUUUCUGUCCGUCCUUCCUUCUGUCACAAAAUCUUGUGAACGCUUCUCCACCUAUAUGGCUUAUCAGAUAGACUUGAAACUUUGUACAAUGCUUCAUUGUCAUUUACAGAUGUGAAUAUUGUUGGGACGGGAGGAUCCAAUUGUUUUCCUAAGAGUUAUAGUGGAUCUAAGAGGGGUGGAAGAUGUAAAAUAGCUUAUGAACUCUUCUCCUCCCAUAUGGCUUAUUGGAUAGACUUGAAACUUUGUACAAUGCUUAAUUGUCAUUUGUAGAUGUGCAUAUUGUCGGAAUGGGAGGAUCCAAAGUUUUUCCUAAAAGAUAUAGUGGAUCUAAAAGGGGUGGAGGAUGUUAAAAUACCUUGUGAACACUUCUCCUAUAUGGCUUAUCUGAUAGACUUGAGAAUUUGUACAAUGCUUCAAUGCCAUUUGUAGAUGUGUAAGUUGUAGGGACAGGAGGAUCCAAUUGCUAUCCUUAAAGUUAAAGUGGAUCUGAGGGGUGUAGGGUAUAAAAUAGUUUGUGAACGCUUCUCCUCCUAUAUGGCUUAUCAGAGUUCAUGUCUAUCUUCCUGCCCAUGCUUUCUCCUUCAUACUAUUCAAUACAUUAAGGGGGAUGUUUCCUAUAUUUUACGAAUUAAUUGGUUGAUUGACAACAAACUUGGUACACUUGUACAGCAUAUAUAAGGAGUAGAUGACCCCUAUUGAUUCUUAGGUCACAUGGUCAGUCCACUCUUGACAUAGGAAGGUAUUGUCUGCUCAAUAUUUUGAAUUGGUGAUACUACUAUCAAUUAAAUGAGGCACGGGUAUAACCCUUUCAAUUUUGCAACUUGGGGGCAUAUGUGUUUUAGAAACAUCUCUUGUGUUGUAUUAUAUGAAUUACAGGUUUUAGUGUGCUCAGUUUAGAGAAUAGCAUAAAAGUAUUUGAUAAUUAAAUAUCUUGCAGAUUGGCAGUUUACUCCAUGCACCGACAGGAAUGAUAAACUGUGAUAUUCGUAAAUGGAACUGGGACACGUUCUAAAUAUACUCAGGGACAGAAUGAUGUGCAGCAAGGCUCGUCAUGGAUUUUACCAAAUACAGAACACUGCAAGGCUUGCAAAAUGAAGACCUCAGUAAAAAAAAUUCUAAAUUAUCCACUAAUGGCAGCUCACUACCUGCCCCUAGUGAUGUUAAAAGAGGCCGUUGUUCUCAUUUGUUCCAAAACAGGAAUGGCAUAUGAGGAGGCCAACAGAAGAUGCACCUCCACUGACCUCCACUGAGUGUGCACUCACAAAACGAAUAAAUUAUUAUUAUUUCUUUUGUUUGUAAUUGUAUAUUGUCAACAAGGUCAAAGGCACUUGAUCCGAUGCCAAACUUUUGCAUUUCUUUUGCUUUGUGGUAAAUUUUCUUCAGCAACAUUAACAUUGUUUAAAUUGUUUUCUUUGGAGAGUAUACAUGUACACAUGGAUCAUUUGUAUAUUAGAAUUAUAGCAUUGUUUAAUUCAACUCAUUCUUAUCCUAGAGAGGUUAUUAUAUACUGCAGGCAACGACUUGUAAAGGGUAUACUGUUUUAACUCACGUGCAAGGCAAGGCAGUAUUAUGAAACUCUGUAGUUGAUAAGGACAUAUAUCACAUAUCGAUAUGCAUAUUUACAGGAAACUCUGAUGUAUUUUAAAUCUGAACGUUAAUUUAAAAGUGGGGAGAAAUAGCAUUGGAUGAAAAAAGACACAUAUGAAGAAAAUUAUUCCAUACGUAAAUACUUUUUAGCUCACCUGAGCUGAAAGCUCAAGUGAGCUUUUCUGAUCGCCUGUUGUUCAUUGUCUGUCCGUGAUUAAACAUUUUAUAUUUUCUCCAGAAGCAAUGGGCCAAUAAUAACCAAACUUAGCCAAAAGUAUCCUUGGGUAAAGGUCUUUCGAGUUUGUUCAAAUGAAGGGCCAUGCCCUCUUCAAAGGGGAGAUGACCACAAAAAUAGGGUGGGUCAUUUAAUUUUUUUUAUCAAGAACCACUGGGCCAGAAGAGCUAAAAUGUACAUGAAAGCUUCUUGACAUAGUACAGAUUCAAGUUUAUUGAAAUCAUGGCCUCCAGGGGUUGUAUGGGGCCACAAUAGAGAAUCAAAGUUUUACAUACAAUUAUUCAGGAAAAAUCUUUCAAUAUGAGCCAAGGUGGCUCAGGUGAGCGAUGUGGCCCAUGGGCCUCUUGUUCAACAUAUAGAAUAAAUACAUGUAGUUAUGUUGUAUUUCCCAUGGAACAUUGAAACGUUUAAUGCGUUUACCAAUUAAUCACUGAAAGAAAGAUAAAAUUGUUGUUUCAUAUGUUUUAUGAAAACUUAAAUUUUUUUUCAUUUCUUUUCAUGAAAGACCCCUUAAUUACCCAGUAAUAUAUAAUCAAUUCUUAACAGAUUAUGUAAAUUUGAUUUAUAUUAAGGAUGUUUGAUCUGAUUACCCAUCAUUAUCAAUCUGUCUAAUAUAGCCAUCAUGUGUUACUAUUGCUACGCAAUCUUGGAGCAUGAGGUAGAAUGCGAGCCAGCUCUUUCAUAAGUACAUGCAUCUGGAAAAUAUAUUUCAAUGUCAAAGGUUACAACAAUGUGAUAAUGUAAUCAUUGUAUGUCUAAGGUCUUGAUAAUAAAACUGUUAUCUGUUCAA
Long non-coding RNA from Ostrea edulis (European flat oyster), 3631 nucleotides. RefSeq lists it as uncharacterized. The record is from RefSeq and is a predicted model, not a curated record. The transcript is spliced from 4 exons. Lineage: Eukaryota; Metazoa; Mollusca; Bivalvia; Ostreida; Ostreidae.